UGCGGCCCACAUUCCCAUCGAAAUCGGCCCACAACUCUCUUUUGCUGUUUUAUUACUUUUUUACAGCUUAAUCCACUAUUUUCUGCAAUUUACUUUUUAGUACAAUGUAUGGAGAGGUAUAAGAAGCAGAUGUGACUAAUAAGAAGGACAUCAAUGAAUGAAAUGAAUUAGCAUCUUCUUCCCCAAAACUUCUUCUCCUCUAAACCUUUCUUCCCCAAAUUCUCCUCUAUCUCUAAUCCCCACUUCUAAUCUCUAUCCUAAUUCCUUAUCCCUUCCCUCUCCCCCAAUUCUUAUCUUCUCUUCUUUACUUCUAAUCCCCCAAUCCUCAUCUCUCUCUCUCUCUUACCUCAUCUAGCCUCUAUUACCUCGGAAUUCCAGCAGGAAGCCACUAUCAUCCCCGUCGCCGUCCACGCCUCGGCAAGUUCUCAUCAUCG
Molecule: long non-coding RNA, 434 nt
Filed under: Ananas comosus (pineapple)
Lineage: Eukaryota; Viridiplantae; Streptophyta; Magnoliopsida; Poales; Bromeliaceae
Description: long non-coding RNA (ACOM_LNC043345)
Source: RNAcentral